This 253-nucleotide ribosomal RNA is filed under the name uncultured bacterium. RNAcentral describes it as "partial 16S ribosomal RNA". It matches the Rfam family "Bacterial small subunit ribosomal RNA", at positions 524 to 776 of the family's 1533-position model. The record is from RNAcentral.
UACGUAGGUGACAAGCGUUAUCCGGAAUUACUGGGCGUAAAGCGCACGCAGGCGGCCGAGUAAGUCUGACGUGAAAUCUCCCGGCUUAACCGGGAGCGGUCGUUGGAAACUACUUGGCUUGAGGCGAUGAGAGGGGUGUGGAAUUCCCGGUGUAGUGGUGGAAUGCGUAGAUAUCGGGAGGAACAUCAGUGGCGAAAGCGGCACCCUGGCAUUAGCCUGACGCUCAGGUGCGAAAGCGUGGGGAGCGAACGGG